UACGAAGGGGGCUAGCGUUGUUCGGAAUUACUGGGCGUAAAGCGCACGUAGGCGGUUUUCCAAGUUGGAGGUGACAUCCCUGGGCUUAACCCAGGAACUGCCCCCAAGACUGGGAGACUCGAGUCCGAGAGAGGUGAGUGGAAUUUCCAGUGUAGAGGUGAAAUGCGUAGAUAUGGGAAAGAACACCAGUGGCGAAGGCGGCCCACGGGCUCGGUACUGACGCUGAGGUGCGACAGCGUGGGGAGCAAACAGG
RNAcentral lists this ribosomal RNA (253 nucleotides) under uncultured bacterium. Its description in RNAcentral is "partial 16S ribosomal RNA". It matches the Rfam family "Bacterial small subunit ribosomal RNA", at positions 524 to 776 of the family's 1533-position model. The record is from RNAcentral.